RNAcentral lists this long non-coding RNA (641 nucleotides) under Ananas comosus (pineapple). Its description in RNAcentral is "long non-coding RNA (ACOM_LNC020627)". Lineage: Eukaryota; Viridiplantae; Streptophyta; Magnoliopsida; Poales; Bromeliaceae. The record is from RNAcentral.
UAUUGGUUUCACACUUUCUCACUUCAGUACCCUGUAGUUUAAAAUGUAUCAAGUUAAUGUCACGUGGCUUCAUUUUUAUCUUUUUGUUGGUUUUUUUGUUAAUAUUUCGUUAAAAUUAUAUACAAAAAAUUUCAGAUACCCACAUAAGUUUAUCGAAUAUUUACUUUAGUACCUUUUAGUUUUAACUUUGUUACUAAUUUAACGAAGAAAAAUUAGUAGAAUCGAUAAUAAAAAAAUAAAAAUAAAACCACGGAGCACUAAUUGAUACAUUUUAAGUCACAGAGUAUUAAAAUAAAAAAAUGUAAAACUGUAGUGAUGGUAUUUGAAGUUUUUUUUUUUAAAAAAAAGAACUCCAAAGGUGAUAAAAUCAAACAAAAUUUAUGUACUGUUUGGUUCGAGUAUAAGUAAGAACUAGCUAUUACAGGGAUAGGUAUAAGUAUGGGGAUAAGAAAAAUAAUGUUUGGAUGAAAAUUGGGUUAUUUCCGGAGAUAAGAAAAAUUUUAGGUAGUUUUAUAUAGAAAAUGAAAGUGUUAGUAGGGAUAACCGAGAAUUAUUAUUCUCGGAUAAAAAAUUAGCGUUUGGAUAUAAAAGGGAAGAUAAAAGCCUAUUUCUAUUCCUUUCCCCUAAAUUUGUACGUCAUC